RNAcentral lists this ribosomal RNA (228 nucleotides) under uncultured bacterium. RNAcentral's name for it is "partial 16S ribosomal RNA". It matches the Rfam family "Bacterial small subunit ribosomal RNA", at positions 568 to 795 of the family's 1533-position model. The record is from RNAcentral.
UCCGUAGGUGGAUAAUUAAGUCAGAGGUGAAAUCCUGCAGCUCAACUGUAGAAUUGCCUUUGAUACUGGUUAUCUUGAGUCAUUAUGAAGUGGUUAGAAUGUGUAGUGUAGCGGUGAAAUGCAUAGAUAUUACACAGAAUACCGAUUGCGAAGGCAGAUCACUAAUAAUGUACUUACACUGAGUGACGAAAGCGUGGGGAGCGAACAGGAUUAGAUACCCUGGUAGUC